UACGUAGGGUGCAAGCGUUGUCCGGAAUUAUUGGGCGUAAAGAGCUCGUAGGCGGUCUGUCGCGUCUGCUGUGAAAACUCGGGGCUUAACCCCGGGCCUGCAGUGGGUACGGGCAGACUAGAGUGCAGUAGGGGAGACUGGAAUUCCUGGUGUAGCGGUGAAAUGCGCAGAUAUCAGGAGGAACACCGGUGGCGAAGGCGGGUCUCUGGGCCGUAACUGACGCUGAGGAGCGAAAGCGUGGGGAGCGAACAGG
Molecule: ribosomal RNA, 253 nt
Filed under: uncultured bacterium
Lineage: Bacteria
Description: partial 16S ribosomal RNA
Rfam family: Bacterial small subunit ribosomal RNA
Source: RNAcentral